RNAcentral lists this ribosomal RNA (253 nucleotides) under uncultured bacterium. RNAcentral describes it as "partial 16S ribosomal RNA". It matches the Rfam family "Bacterial small subunit ribosomal RNA", at positions 524 to 776 of the family's 1533-position model. The record is from RNAcentral.
UACGGAGGGUGCGAGCGUUGUCCGGAAUCACUGGGCGUAAAGGGCGCGUAGGCGGCCUGAUAAGUAGGGGGUGAAAUCCUGCGGCUUAACCGCAGGGCUGCCUUCUAAACUGUCAGGCUGGAGCACAGUAGAGGCAGGUGGAAUUCCCGGUGUAGCGGUGGAAUGCGUAGAGAUCGGGAAGAACACCAAUGGCGAAGGCAGCUCUCUGGGACGGUACUGACACUGAGACGCGAAAGCGUGGGGAGCGAACAGG